Molecule: long non-coding RNA, 436 nt
Organism: Folsomia candida
Lineage: Eukaryota; Metazoa; Arthropoda; Collembola; Entomobryomorpha; Isotomidae
Exons: 3
Source: RefSeq, a predicted model, not a curated record
UUCACAUGCUCAUUUUGGCGUUCGGAGUGAUCACGGGAUUUGGUUUGUCGCUGUGCUACGUGGCGGCGGUUGUGAUAGUGGCCUAUUAUUUUGAUAAGAGACGCUCACUCGCGCCGGGCCUGUCCAUGUGUGGCGGUGGGAUUGGAACUUUUAUGUUUGGCCCCCUGAAUUCCUAUCUCAUUGAAGCGACCAGCUGGAGAGUGACCUUGUUGGUGGACGCCGGGUGUUUUUAUUUAGCCUUUGCUUCUGUGCUAUCCUCAUGAAAGACUUGGAAUGGAGCAAGAAGAGUAGUCGAAAGAGGGAAAAGGUUCUCCAGAAUGAGCACGACCUUAAUACUCAGACUCAACUAAACCUGAAUGGAGCAGGGGGUGGAAUGUACUCCAUCCCUGAAGGAGGAGGAGGAGGAGGAACUGCCUUGAUUGGACUCUAGAAAUCU